CUCCGCUCGAUGAACGAGUGUGUGUGUGGUUUGCUCUCCUGUAUUGGCGCGUUGGAAGAACUGCUCGUGUGUGUGAUUGCUGCUCUCGACAAUUUAGCGAUUAUUUCCGUGCUGAUGACCUGUUGAUCCGAAAACGCGGUGUGCGUGCAACUCCGCGGGGUUUCAGCUACCUAAUGUUCGCUCUUGUGUUCAUACUCGGCUGAGUUGCGAGUGUCCAUUUGUACAGAAUAUACUGCAUUGCAACCCACUUCUGCCUUUAGUGAGACUGUUACAUCCAGUCAUCAAAGUGAGUCAUAGCGCAAUGUUGGAAGCUACGUGAGUAUUUUGUUUGUCUUAAGGUGAAAUAUGGGGGUUUUAUGUGCAAUAAAAAUGUCAAUUGGUUUUAAUUACAGGUUUUAAAUCCUCUCGGAUUUAUCGGCCACCGUUUC
Sinocyclocheilus anshuiensis is the source of this 428-nucleotide long non-coding RNA. RefSeq lists it as uncharacterized. The transcript has 3 exons. The record is from RefSeq and is a predicted model, not a curated record. Lineage: Eukaryota; Metazoa; Chordata; Actinopteri; Cypriniformes; Cyprinidae.